AAAGAAUAUAGACUUUCACUCUCACAAUUCACUCUCAUACACAGCAAGAUCCACGUAAUGGUAACGAUAAACACACAUAGAGACUCUCACAUAAAAGGCGGCCUCACUAUUCCAUAGACAUCACAAAAACUUUAGACACACAAUACACAUAUAUAGGUCACCGAAAACGUGUACAUACAUACUCACAGAUCGGGAACUCACCAUACACACACCUAAUGGGAUAGAGAAUCGAAAGAAAUUGGUGAACAGAAAAGAAAAACCAGAGAAAAAGGCGAGAGAGGGAUUUUUCCAACGAGUUCUCACCGGAAAACAUCACAACUGUCCAUUUUAUCCAAUAUUCAUCAUUGUCAAGCUCAUCGGAGCUCCGGCAAAGUAAAAAGUUAAACCCAGCUCUACUCCGACCCAAACUCACACCGAUAGCCACUUCCUUCUCAUUUUUUGGCUAAAAUCUCAUCGAAAAUAGCAAAGUUGACGACUGAAUCAACAAAAUCCGACCCAAUUCAGUCGGUUUUUGAUGAAAUCUCAUCGAAAAAUGAUCAAAAAUAGAAACGGGCCAGUUGGGUGGAUUGAUUAUAUCAUAUUUUUGGGUUUGUUCGUGUUGUGGGUUUGUUGGUUGAGGUUCGAACUGAGUUUUUUGAAUGGGGUUCUAUCUUUCAAUAGAGAGCUUGGUAUAUUAAAUCUGUUAAUUGAGGUCCAAUUCUUUAACUCUAUCUCUUUCUAUUUCAUCUUAAUAUGAUAUGGUUGGUGAUAUAUUCUGAUAGUGUGUUUGAGCAAUAUUGAUUGUCGUGGUUGAUAUUAUUGAUUGAUUCAUUUAAAUGGAGUAAUUGAAGGAUUUGAAUUCAUUUAGGAUAAAUUUUAACUUGGUGAAAGGUGGAAUUGAAAAAUUGAUAAAGUGAAUAUUGAUUAUAUUGAUUCAGUGAUGUUUGGUUAAUUCGGAAUAAGUGUUGAUGUUGUUAAACGUAAUAUUAUAAUGAUAGAUCAAGCCGGGUAGGCAAACGGUAGACUCGGAUAGGCAAAACUUAGGGAUUGUGGAUUGUUGAGUGUUUGGAAUAUUUGUUGAAUGAUUCUAUUUUUCUCAUAUUUGAAAAAUGUAUUCAUUUAGCCGGGAAUUGCCCUGAGGUCAUUUGUAUUUAUUCACCGGAGAAUGUCCCGAAGAAUCUUGUAUGCGAAGGAUGUUCAUGAUCAAGGCCCGAGUCAUCGGGUAGAGCAUAGUGUAGGAUUAGUAUAGGUUAGUGUAGGUUUAUUUCAGUACAUUUUAUUUUGGACUAUAAUAAUUGGACUAGACACUAUUUUUCGAACUUAUUUUGUUUGGUGUGGUUGUUUGUUUGUUUUGUAUGUUUUAUGUGGUUUAUUCAUUUCAUAGUGUCAUACUAGCCGAUACACUCCACGAAGCGACCAUGGUCAAACCACGGAAUCGAUGGGUGCCUAAAACCUUCCCUUCAGUCAAAAGAAUUCCUUAAUCAAAAUCUCUGUUCGUGGAUCAGUUUUUAAAGAGUCAAAUUAUUUUGAAAAAGAAUUUCCAAAGGUGACUUGGCACAAGAUGCAACAAUUAGUACGUAGGGAUGCAUAACCCGAGUUAUUUUUUUUGCAAUAAGUUUCGUAGUAUAUGUGUGUACAAGACCUCUAGUUGAGUCACUCUUAUUUUAGGAGGGGGAGACGUCAGGUGUAUAGAGUGAGUGGAAAACUCUCGUAGCCACUAUCGACCAUACGCUCCCCUGAACAACCUUGUUAGUGGACCCCAACCUAGGUCAGCCUUUAGGUUAUGCUUAUUUGCAUCAUAUUGAGACCUAGCGGGACCCACUUUGUCCUUUGUAGGAGACUCACCCCUAAAGCAUCCCUACGUACUAAUUGUUGCAUCUUUGAGGGUAAUAGGGUCAUUUGACGGAUUGUUUUAGGGAAAAACAUCUGCCAGAAUUAAAGAAAAAUGUGUAGGCAACGAAAAGUUCGGAAAAAAAGAAAAAGAAAAAAUGAGUCAAGAAAAAAAAAGAGUUUUUUAGUUUUUUAGUGUUCUUUAUGACUUUUAUUUUUCAGAAUUCAAUUUUUUUUUACCUAUUGCACUCAUUUCUCAAAAACAAAAACGUCAAAAAGAUUUUCCUUUCGUUCCCUUAGCAUGCAUUUAUAGUUCGAAAAUUAAAAAAAAGAAAUUAAUAGGACCUUUUUAUAAAACAAAAUUCAAUAAAAAGAUGGUAGAAGUCUUGUACAUUUCUUAUAACGAAAGUAUCAAAAAGAUUUUCUUAUAACGAAAGUAUCAAAAAGAUUUUCCUUUCAUAAUUAUUGGUGUCUGUUUUAUGUGAAGUGUCAAAUUAAAAAUCCAAAAAAAGAUUUUAUUGACAUUUUUCAUCGUCUUAUUUGGUCGUGUCUCUUAAGUCAAUGUUUAGUUUGUUUAAUCUUUAAUUGUACAAUCUAGACGAACUACACACACCUGAUUCUCCCUUCUCGAGAGUGAAAUAUGUAGGCAGCCCUUCCAGGGUUUGGUGAUCUUAUUUAAAAAAUCUAAAAAGAUUUUAUUCUCUUCAUUUAGAGUAGGUGUUUCAUAUAUAUCUUUAAAAAAAAACUACAAAAUGAUUUUUUUUAAUAGUUUCAAGUUUCAUUGUCAUAUGAAAUUCAAAAUCGAAAACCUAAAAAAUGAUUUUUUUUUUUGGUAAUCAUAGAUUUCAUUUUGUAUCGGAUUUUAAAGCUGAAAAAUUCAAAAAGAUUUUUGUCAAUUCUUUUGACAAUUUGUUAUUUUCUUUUCUUCUUAAAGUUUAAGAAAAAGCAAAAAAAGAAAUAGAGUUGAUUGGUCAUUUUGUGGCCAAACUUCACGAACUAUGCACACAUGAUUCUCCUCUUUCGGGAGUGAAAAACGUAGGUGCCCUUUUUGGGUUCGGUGAUCUUUUCAAGAAAAAUAGAAAAAGAUUUUGAGAAAGUGUUGAACUCUUACACAUUUGUUAUCUCUUGUUCAGUUAGUUUAAGGUGGUUUGUUUGUGGCAUUCUGGUGGGUCUUCCAUAUCACACCAAAUCUAAGAAAGGUUUAGCUGUGUCCAACAAGGAUAUAGAGAGUGACCUCAUGGAUCAAACAAAGAGUCUGGAAAAUGAGAGUCUAAAGGAAGAGAAUUUGAGACUAAGACAAUUGUAUCGAUCUUGGGCCAGUGGGCUGCCUCCUCCUCUAUUCCCCACUAUUGACCCUACAAAUAUCUUGAGUUUUCCAUCAUAAUUGCAAAGUCAGGUUCCUAUUGUUGUUGACACACCACAACAUGCUUCAAAAUUCAUUCAACGUCAGCUGCAUCCCAAUACUUCCACCAUUCCUUCUCUAGCUCCUCAGUAUAAGCCUACUACAUUCACAACACCACAUACCAUCUGUGAUUUUACUGCUCAACCCUCUACUGAGGCUUCCACACUGGCUAUCUGCCCAACGGUUGUGAUUUCUCAUGUCGCUAGUGAACCCAUGUUUAAUACUCUUGAUGAUCAUUGCUAUACUCCUGAGCCUACUUUUAAGUUAACUGUACCACCAAAAUUUUUUACCAAGAAGUCUGACAUGGCAGAAGAGAAAGAGAAAAUGGUUGCAAAAAUGAAGGAUGCAGAAAAUGCUAUAAAAAGUUCCCUAGGACUCGCGGGUAUAGAAGACGUUUUGUAUAAAGACUGGGCAUGUCUUCAAGUGUCAACCUUCCUCAAAGCUUUGAGAUAUUGAAAUUUGAGGAACAUGAUGGACAUGAGGAUUAAGGGAAAUAUUUGGGAUGAUGCUCUAAUCAAUUAAGGAAAACUGAAGGGAAGAAGAAGAAAAACAUACCUAUUGUCUUGCCAGGGCCAAAGCAGAGCUUGAGAGGUCCAACUCACCAAUACUGUCAGCCUCAAUCCCGAGCUUACAUAUUAGAUCCACAUACUCACCUACAACAAGGUUCCUCAUUCCAAAAUCCUAGAUAUUUUAUUCCACUUCCUCAAUAUCCUUUGAACAAUGCACAAUUGUAUACUCGUUCGUCAUCUUAUUCAUAAUGGAAAACACCGAUCCCUAAACAUCAUCCGUGGCCCCUACAUAUUUACCAAGGUACUCUAAGUCCAAGUUUUAACCAAGGCCAAAGUUUGCAAAGAGGAGAAAGGAAAAGGAUAAUUUCACUCCUAUUGGGGAAUCCUAUGCCAGUUUGUUCCAGAGAUUGAGACAAUAGGGCAUAAUUACUCCCCUCCUUGGGUAUACACCUGACCUAUAUUUAAGAAUUUUUGACCCUAAUGUAUGGUGUGCAUAACAUUCUGAUGUUCAGGGUCACGGUAUUAAAGAUUGUCGUACUUUAAAAAGAGAAAUAGAAAAGAUGAUUCAAGAAAAGGUGAUUAUAGUGCAAAACGUUGACACCUUGAGCAUCACACAGAAUCCUUCACAAACACAUGGUGAUGCAUAAUACAUGGGAAUCAAUGAGUUGAGCAUGAGGAUCCAUAACUUAUUUGUUUAGGGAAAUGUAUUUGAUGGUGAUGAAAGCUCUAGUUAGGAUGUGUAAAUCAGUGGCUAAAUGUCAAGCUUCACAGUUGGGAAGACACUCCUCUCCUUACUAGGAAGGGGUUUUGGUAGCUAGUCUUGUUUUCCUUUUUAUUUUUUGAAUUAUUUCAAGGUUGUAAUUCAGAAUCUAUCUUAUUUUAUGUCUUUGUCGUUUAUGUUUAAACCCUUCUAUCUUUUAUUUCAGCAAAAUGUAGCAUCCCUUUUGACUUUUGCCGUAUUUUAAGUUGUCUGUCUUCUUUACACAAUAUAUUUAUGUUGAUUUUAGUGAUACGACAUGCUUGCAAAAUUUUUAGCCAUAUCUUAAAAUCCAUUUUAAUCAUGAAACAUUGAAUCAGAGGGUUGAAGUUAGAAAAAAAAAGCAUCUGAGAAAAUAGAUAGAGUGUUGAGGCAUUUGGUGAUAAAGUUGAAGCCUUCUUUAAAAAUCAAGGAAAUUAUUUUGAGAAUCAUAAGAAUAACUUGGUCAUCAAUUGAAAGGCAUAUCUCAAUUAGGUCAAAUAGUGAUUGUGCGAUCCUACGUCAAAAGGGACAGAAAGAAAAUCAGCUCCACGAAAUCAAGAGUCAUUCAGCAUGGGGAAUGUACAACAAAAGUGGAGUUGUAUGUUGAACAAAGUGCAAGAUUAGUGAUGCACAAAUUCAGUUAAAGUUAGUGUUGUAAAAAUGUCACGAAUGAUCUCCAUCUUUCACUUUCACAUUAAAUGAUAUGUACUUACAUUUUCAAUGAUUGAUAUAACAGAGACAUUUUAUUCUGCUAUCCAAAUAUUGUGUGAUCCUUUGUAAACCCCAUUUGUGCGCGGAUUUAAUAGAUUUAGUAGGUUUCUAGUGAAUCUAUUUUUAUUAGUGCGUGGAUAUUUUUUAAAUUUUGUUUCAAUAUCUUUUAAUAAUUUACUUUUUUUGUAAGCUAUAUUCAUUAAUUAUUUUAUCCUGUAGUAAUUGUAGAGUUAUAAAUUUCUGUAUAAUAAUUUAUCCUAUCUGUGCUAUAAUGUAUAUCUAAUUCUAGGUUUUCAAUGUUAUUUAUUAUCUUGUGUUGUUCUUCUCGUAGUGAAUUUUUUAAACUAUAUAAACUAUC
Molecule: long non-coding RNA, 5528 nt
Filed under: Capsicum annuum
Lineage: Eukaryota; Viridiplantae; Streptophyta; Magnoliopsida; Solanales; Solanaceae
Description: long non-coding RNA (CANN_LNC010543)
Source: RNAcentral